UAGAAGAAAACAGCUUUACUGAGGUGGC
Molecule: non-coding RNA, 28 nt
Filed under: Homo sapiens (human)
Lineage: Eukaryota; Metazoa; Chordata; Mammalia; Primates; Hominidae
Source: RNAcentral